RNAcentral lists this ribosomal RNA (253 nucleotides) under uncultured bacterium. RNAcentral's name for it is "partial 16S ribosomal RNA". It matches the Rfam family "Bacterial small subunit ribosomal RNA", at positions 524 to 776 of the family's 1533-position model. The record is from RNAcentral.
UACGGGGGGGGCAAGCGUUGUUCGGAAUUACUGGGCGUAAAGGGUUCGUAGGUGGCCAACUAAGUCAGACGUGAAAUCCCUCAGCUUAACUGGGGAACUGCGUCUGAGACUGGAUGGCUUGAGUGCGGCAGAGGAGACUGGAAUUCCCGGUGUAGCAGUGAAAUGCGUAGAUAUCGGGAGGAAUACCGAUGGCGAAGGCAGGUCUCUGGGCUGACACUGACGCUCAUGCACGAAAGCGUGGGGAGCAAACAGG